This 442-nucleotide ribosomal RNA is filed under the name uncultured bacterium. RNAcentral describes it as "partial 16S ribosomal RNA". It matches the Rfam family "Bacterial small subunit ribosomal RNA", at positions 338 to 795 of the family's 1533-position model. The record is from RNAcentral.
CCUACGGGAGGCAGCAGUGGGGAAUAUUGGGCAAUGGGCGCAAGCCUGACCCAGCAACGCCGCGUGAAGGAAGAAGGCUUUCGGGUUGUAAACUUCUUUUAAGAGGGAAGAGAAGAAGACGGUACCUCUUGUAUAAGCCACGGCUAACUACGUGCCAGCAGCCGCGGUAAUACGUAGGUGGCAACCGUUGUCCGGAAUUACUGGGUGGAAAGGGCGUGCAGUCGGGCUGACAAGUCAGAUGUGAAAUCCCGGGGCUCAAACGCGGUACUGCAUUUGAAACUGGCAGUCUUGAGUACCGGAGAGGUCAGCGGAAUUCCUUGUGUAGCGGUGAAAUGCGUAGAUAUAAGGAAGAACACCAGUGGCGAAGGCAGAUGACUGGACGGCAACUGACGGUGAGGCGCGAAAGCGUGGGGAGCAAACAGGAUUAGAUACCCUUGUAGUC